AUUGAACGCUGGCGGCAUGCCUUACACAUGCAAGUCGAACGGUAACAGGUCUUCGGAUGCUGACGAGUGGCGAACGGGUGAGUAAUACAUCGGAACGUGCCCGAUCGUGGGGGAUAACGAAGCGAAAGCUUUGCUAAUACCGCAUAAGAUCUACGGAUGAAAGCAGGGGACCGCAAGGCCUUGCGCGAACGGGGCGGCCGAUGGCAGAUUAGGAAGUUGGUGGGAUAAAAGCUUACCAAGCCGACGAUCUGUAGCUGGUCUGAGAGGACGACCAGCCACACUGGGACUGAGACACGGCCCAGACUCCUACGGGAGGCAGCAGUGGGGAAUUUUGGACAAUGGGCGAAAGCCUGAUCCAGCCAUGCCGCGUGCAGGAUGAAGGCCUUCGGGUUGUAAACUUCUUUUGUACGGAACGAAAAGACUCUUUCUAAUAAAGAGGGUCCAUGACGGUACCGUAAGAAUAAGCACCGGCUAACUACGUGCCAGCCGCCGCGGUAA
Molecule: ribosomal RNA, 498 nt
Filed under: uncultured bacterium
Lineage: Bacteria
Description: partial 16S ribosomal RNA
Rfam family: Bacterial small subunit ribosomal RNA
Source: RNAcentral